GCCAAAAACAUAAAUUCACGACUCAUUUCAAUCACCCCCGAAUUGACAGGGUAAAUCAUUUAUGCUUUUGGCGAAGACGCUUUUUCUAACGAUAAUAAUCUAAAUUAUGUGCCAAUUGAUUUUGAAUCGAACCGGGCCUGCAUUUUCCACUCGAAACCGUACCUGACAUGCAUUUCCUAACAAUUUUGAAUUAAACCGGUCCUGUGUUUCCUAACGGUUAAAACCAAAUCGGUCUUGAAUAUUUUAACGAUGUCGACACUUAUACGAUGCCGUUUUUGUGUCUCUUAAACCAAACCGGUCAUUUGUUUCUUUGUGUUGUUGAAGUAAAGAAAUUUUAGUUCUUGGAAUUCUAUUUGUUUUCAUAUCUUUCACUCAAAAUAUUUGAUUUGUUUAAGUUUCAUAAACAUCAAGUUUUGAUUUAUUACACUUAAAAUGAAUUUCAAACUACAUGAUAAUAAACACACCGUUUUCUAUUUGUUAAACUGGUGUAAUGAACCUUUGGCUUUCUACUCGUUUUUUAAACGUACGUGUUCUUUUUUAAACUGGUGUAAUAUUCACUGAUCUAUUUUUCUAUAAUGGCCACCCUCUUGUCUCCUCUGCUUUUUCACCCACUCCAGGUCGCCUUUUGUAUCUGACUUGAGAUCUGCAUGCAGAAUCGUGCUUCCUUUCACCAAAAUGAAACAUUGGCUUAGGGCAUUAUUUCUUGGGAAAUUGGGUCAUAUAGCCACAAAA
This 732-nucleotide long non-coding RNA is filed under the name Brassica napus (rape). Its description in RNAcentral is "long non-coding RNA (BNAP_LNC013297)". The record is from RNAcentral. Lineage: Eukaryota; Viridiplantae; Streptophyta; Magnoliopsida; Brassicales; Brassicaceae.